This is a small nucleolar RNA of Psammomys obesus (fat sand rat), 144 nucleotides long. RefSeq annotates it as small nucleolar RNA SNORA48. The transcript has a single exon. Lineage: Eukaryota; Metazoa; Chordata; Mammalia; Rodentia; Muridae. The record is from RefSeq and is a predicted model, not a curated record.
UGCCCACUGGCAAUGGGCAAAGAUAUACCUUAUAGGUGGUGUUUUCUUUAUAUCAGCCAGGGGCAGAGCAGAUGAAGCCCUUUGUUCAUCCUAUCUUGAUGCCUGGCUUAGUGGCCAAAGCUCUCUUGGGCCUAGGACUCGUAA